This 477-nucleotide ribosomal RNA is filed under the name uncultured bacterium. Its description in RNAcentral is "SSU rRNA". It matches the Rfam family "Bacterial small subunit ribosomal RNA", at positions 26 to 518 of the family's 1533-position model. The record is from RNAcentral.
AGGACGAACGCUGGCGGCGUGCUUAACACAUGCAAGUCGAACGGAAAGGUCUCUUCGGAGAUACUCGAGUGGCGAACGGGUGAGUAACACGUGGGUAAUCUGCCCUGCACUUCGGGAUAAGCCUGGGAAACUGGGUCUAAUACCGAAUAGGACCAUAAGGCGCAUGCCUAUUGGUGGAAAGCUUUUGCGGUGUGGGAUGGGCCCGCGGCCUAUCAGCUUGUUGGUGGGGUGACGGCCUACCAAGGCGACGACGGGUAGCCGGCCUGAGAGGGCGACCGGCCACACUGGGACUGAGACACGGCCCAGACUCCUACGGGAGGCAGCAGUGGGGAAUAUUGCGCAAUGGGCGAAAGCCUGACGCAGCGACGCCGCGUGGGGGAUGAAGGCCUUCGGGUUGUAAACCCCUUUCAGCAGGGACGAAGCGAAAGUGACGGUACCUGCAGAAGAAGCGCCGGCUAACUACGUGCCAGCAGCCGC